GACGAACGCUGGCGGCGUGCUUAACACAUGCAAGUCGAGCGGUAAGGCCCUUCGGGGUACACGAGUGGCGAACGGGUGAGUAACACGUGGGUGAUCUGCCCUGCACUUCGGGAUAAGCCUGGGAAACUGGGUCUAAUACCGGAUAGGACCACUGCCUGCAUGGGCGGUGGUGGAAAGCUUUUGCGGUGUGGGAUGGGCCCGCGGCCUAUCAGCUUGUUGGUGGGGUGAUGGCCUACCAAGGCGACGACGGGUAGCCGGCCUGAGAGGGUGACCGGCCACACUGGGACUGAGAUACGGCCCAGACCCCGACGGGAGGCAGCAGUGGGGAAUAUUGCACAAUGGGCGCAAGCCUGAUGCAGCGACGCCGCGUGAGGGAUGACGGCCUUCGGGUUGUAAACCUCUUUCAGCACCGACGAAGCGCAAGUGACGGUAGGUGCAGAAGAAGGACCGGCCAACUACGUGCCAGCCGCCGCGGUAA
This 478-nucleotide ribosomal RNA is filed under the name uncultured bacterium. RNAcentral describes it as "partial 16S ribosomal RNA". It matches the Rfam family "Bacterial small subunit ribosomal RNA", at positions 28 to 523 of the family's 1533-position model. The record is from RNAcentral.